UUUGCUCUUGGGUUUUGUUGUUUGCUUUGAAUUUAUACUUUGUUGGUUAUUUUUGUGAUUUCUAUGACCAAAGCUUGGAUUUUGCCGAGUGGGCAUCUGGAUAUUUUUGGAAUUAGAUGAGUUUAAUGAGAAGGAAUCUGAAGAAAUUACCUUUUGUAGCUGGUCUUAGGAGUUUGUGGUUGUGAAUUUGUGAUUUUCUCCGGAUGAUUUUGUUGAAUUUUGGGCAAACUAUGGUUGUGUUGUGUACUUGGAUGGUGCAAACAGAUAAUUUGGAUCACGUGGUUUGUUGUUUUUAAUGUGUUUUGAUUGUAAACUGCUAUUUUGACUUGCUAUUUUGUUGUCAUAUAUGGUGAUUCAUUAUUGUUUUUGAUGUUCUGAAUGUGGUUAUUGUGAAAUCACAUUGCUUUUAUAGCUAGUUUAUGCUAGUCCAUUGCCCUUCCUUCUGCCUAUGUUAUUAGCUUAAUUAUUCUGUCACUUUUUUCCAAUUAGUGUGCUCAAUUGCUUGAAGUUAAGCCACACUUGUAAUUGUUGCUAUAUAUGUUUCUAUUUCCCUCGGAUUGUUGUGGCUGGGAAACUUUGGUGAGGAAUAAACUUCUAAAUUGUUAUGUUCUCUGGUGUUAUGUUUUCUGGUUUCUUGCUGAAUGUUUGAAAAUGCAGCUGAACUAAGUCCCAGUUUUGAGUUGGCUAAGUUAAGUGGAGGUGUUUGUUUUCAUUUCCAGAACAAUAAAAUAGCUAAUGAAAAAGAUUCAUAUUAGGUUACCAGCAUUUGUAUUUUGGAUUCUUCCAUUAUUCUUUUGAGCUACAUUUUAGUUACAUUUUUUGGUUUCAUUUUUCUUUGCCUGUUGAUUGUUAUGUUUGCAAAAUUUUCCAAGCUACUUGUCAAAAUGGCUAGUUUUUUACUAUAUCCCUGCAUAUAAAUCAAGAAAUAGUGUCAGGGUUCAGAUUAUGACUGAAGUUAAAAGCAUUGCAUGCAAAUCUGAACUUGAGGAUGGAGGGAUAAAGUCCAAUAAUGCUAAUCUUUGUAACUUCUGGUGGUAUUCUUGAUAUUGAAACAGAGGAAAUGAUGCAUGGAGACUUCUUCAGCUGGUGAUUUUCUCUCUUGUUCCUUUAAUGCUAUUAACUGUGUCUACAUUUACAGUCCAGGUAAUCUUAAUGAAGACCAGAAGAAAUUUUUUACCGGCUAUGCCUUGUGUAUGUUCUUAUUAUUCAAGCAGGACCAUUUCAAGAGCUACCUGGAAUUUCAGCCAAACCUAAGACCUAUUUCUCCACUGCUAUUGCCACACAGGAUGCAGAAUUUUCUCCGUGCUUCUUUUGAAUUUGAUGUUGCCCUUGGCAAGAGAAAUUUGGCGAGAUGGGAAAUAAAUACUUGUCAUGCUACCGGACAUUUGGCAAGAGAUUUGGCUUUUGUACAUAUUUGUAAACCAGUAAGUUUUGAAAUCCAACUUUGCUUACAGACUGGCUAGCUUAUUUAUCCUGUUCUUGAAUUAGAGACUGAAACCAAGAGGUUCUGGUUGCAUUUGAACAUGUUCGAGGUUUGAGUAUAAGAGCUUAACUUCUGAUACCAUUGGUGAGCAGCAGUGUAAUUAUUGUGAAAUAUAUUGAUAUUCUGUCUUUCUGCCAGAUAAAAUUUUUUAACCAUA
This is an RNA transcript of Mangifera indica (mango), 1640 nucleotides long. It is a transcript of the gene named probable beta-1,3-galactosyltransferase 2, with no coding region annotated. NCBI's taxonomy places the organism in Eukaryota, Viridiplantae, Streptophyta, Magnoliopsida, Sapindales, Anacardiaceae. The transcript is spliced from 3 exons. The record is from RefSeq and is a predicted model, not a curated record.